RNAcentral lists this ribosomal RNA (136 nucleotides) under uncultured bacterium. Its description in RNAcentral is "partial 16S ribosomal RNA". It matches the Rfam family "Bacterial small subunit ribosomal RNA", at positions 355 to 509 of the family's 1533-position model. The record is from RNAcentral.
UGGGGAAUAUUGCACAAUGGGGGAAACCCUGAUGCAGCGACGCCGCGUGAAGGAAGAAGUAUCUCGGUAUGUAAACUUCUAUCAGCAGGGAAGAUAAUGACGGUACCUGACUAAGAAGCCCGGCUAACUACGUGCC